Sycon ciliatum is the source of this 1594-nucleotide long non-coding RNA. RefSeq lists it as uncharacterized. Lineage: Eukaryota; Metazoa; Porifera; Calcarea; Leucosolenida; Sycettidae. The record is from RefSeq and is a predicted model, not a curated record. The transcript has 3 exons.
UGGGAACGCAUGAGCUUUCGCAUCAAAGUUUGAGCUUCGUUCGUCGACAUGGAGCAAGCAAGUAGCUCUUUGGUGAGCGCUGAGCCUCGUUCAGAAACUGGUUAUGAAAGCACAAGAGGUCGUAAUCGAAUUUCGUCUCUUCAGUCGCUAGAAUCAUCUUGCAGCGGUGGCAACAGUCUCUCUCGAGCUGCUUUCCUCUGUCCACAACUCUUGAGUUGCCUUCCUUGCUUUGUGGCCAAGUGCUAAAGGGCACAUUGGCACGUUAGCCAUGUGCUUGUACUGACGCAGUGUACGCUAGCUAUCUGGCAGUUCAGGUAUUGUCACUCACCAUAAACAUGAUGAAUGGUUACUCUACGACUCGUACCUCUGGUGACCACUCAGCGACAUGGAUAUUAUGAGUGUGCUCGUCGUCAGGAUUGAUCACUGGAUAGUGAACACGAGUGACUAGUGAAGUGUAGUAUUGCGCGGAGCUCUGCACUGACUGAUACCUGCUUCUCUAUUCACCGGCAGUACUAACCAUUAGGUUAGUACCUCCGACCAGUCAAACUGUGGUGGCUCGGAAACUGAGCAGCUCAUCAUCAGCACAAGCAGAAAUGAUAUGAGUGGUGGUGACUUUACUGCAGGAAACGUUGGACUUGUCACAUUCCUCAGUGUUGGCACGUCUUCAAACGCAAUCAGUUUCUGAAAGCGGCUGUACAUGUUCUGCUGGCCCGUACUCAGUCUACUCGGCACUCUCACAAUGUACAAUGUACAAUCGGUAUUCGUCAACGUUCACCUAUAGCCAAGACCAGGCUAAAACUGCGGUUGUGUCAAAUCUUCAUCCCUGCAAGUUGCUUGCUGGUACUGGUGACCCUUCUUUCUAGCGAUGGACAUCUGAAGUCUAUGGUGGAAGUGUGCACUCACCAGCAAGACAAGAAGAAGCAAGCCGGCAAAGAAAAUUCCUAAUUCAUGCCUUGAAGUAAAUUCUAGAAGUCUAACUUACAUAUCACAUGGUGGUGCCCACACAUUACAUGUGACCCAACCCUCUAUAGAAAGUGGGAUUCACAGACGUGUGUCUUUUUUGCGAUGUGCGAUGCACGGUGUGUCGUCAUCUGUGAAGGCAGCGUGCGAUGCAAACUCGCGAAAUGCCAUUCACAGAAGAAGUCAGCGAUGUGACGUUGCCUUGCUGAUUUGACGCUAAGUUCAAUGCUGGCGAGUACGUCAGCAUGGUAUUCAUGUGGCUGAGUGGUAUUCAUGUGCCUGGGUGUGAGUACUCAGCAUGGUAUUCAUGUGCCUGGGUGCAACUUUUACAAAUCUGCAAGCAACUCUUGAACCUUUGUACAACUUUGCUGCCAAAAAAAGAUCAAAAUCGUACAUCAAAUCGCAUGUCGCGUCCGCGAGAUCGCGGUAUCCUGUGGGGACAGGUGAGCUGCGCGGUGGUUGUGAUUUGGGGAAUUCCAGGUUUCCCGGACGUCACGUCGCGCAUCGCAUCGCUAAAAUGCUUCCAUGAGACCCUCUGUACUUUUUGCUCUUUGGGGAGAUGAGUUGGAGUUGGGUAUCAGACUAUCAGGUUGUCAAAUCUAUAUGUACUCUGUCAGUUUUUCGCCUAGGUGCU